This 63-nucleotide transfer RNA is filed under the name Idolomantis diabolica. Its description in RNAcentral is "tRNA-Gly". Lineage: Eukaryota; Metazoa; Arthropoda; Insecta; Mantodea; Empusidae. The record is from RNAcentral.
AUUUAUUUAGUAUAAAAAGUACACUUGAUUUCCAAUCAAAUAGUCUAUUAAUUAGAAUAAAUA